Molecule: ribosomal RNA, 916 nt
Filed under: Lacticaseibacillus paracasei
Lineage: Bacteria; Bacillati; Bacillota; Bacilli; Lactobacillales; Lactobacillaceae
Description: bacterial SSU rRNA
Rfam family: Bacterial small subunit ribosomal RNA
Source: RNAcentral
AAGCGUAUCCGGAUUUUUGGGCGUAAAGCGAGCGCAGGCGGUUUUUAAGUCUGAUGUGAAAGCCCUCGGCUUAACCGAGGAAGCGCAUCGGAAACUGGGAAACUUGAGUGCAGAAGAGGACAGUGGAACUCCAUGUGUAGCGGUGAAAUGCGUAGAUAUAUGGAAGAACACCAGUGGCGAAGGCGGCUGUCUGGUCUGUAACUGACGCUGAGGCUCGAAAGCAUGGGUAGCGAACAGGAUUAGAUACCCUGGUAGUCCAUGCCGUAAACGAUGAAUGCUAGGUGUUGGAGGGUUUCCGCCCUUCAGUGCCGCAGCUAACGCAUUAAGCAUUCCGCCUGGGGAGUACGACCGCAAGGUUGAAACUCAAAGGAAUUGACGGGGGCCCGCACAAGCGGUGGAGCAUGUGGUUUAAUUCGAAGCAACGCGAAGAACCUUACCAGGUCUUGACAUCUUUUGAUCACCUGAGAGAUCAGGUUUCCCCUUCGGGGGCAAAAUGACAGGUGGUGCAUGGUUGUCGUCAGCUCGUGUCGUGAGAUGUUGGGUUAAGUCCCGCAACGAGCGCAACCCUUAUGACUAGUUGCCAGCAUUUAGUUGGGCACUCUAGUAAGACUGCCGGUGACAAACCGGAGGAAGGUGGGGAUGACGUCAAAUCAUCAUGCCCCUUAUGACCUGGGCUACACACGUGCUACAAUGGAUGGUACAACGAGUUGCGAGACCGCGAGGUCAAGCUAAUCUCUUAAAGCCAUUCUCAGUUCGGACUGUAGGCUGCAACUCGCCUACACGAAGUCGGAAUCGCUAGUAAUCGCGGAUCAGCACGCCGCGGUGAAUACGUUCCCGGGCCUUGUACACACCGCCCGUCACACCAUGAGAGUUUGUAACACCCGAAGCCGGUGGCGUAACCCUUUUAGGGAGCGAG